RNAcentral lists this ribosomal RNA (600 nucleotides) under Pseudanabaena minima ISB 73. RNAcentral's name for it is "bacterial SSU rRNA". It matches the Rfam family "Bacterial small subunit ribosomal RNA", at positions 94 to 718 of the family's 1533-position model. The record is from RNAcentral. Lineage: Bacteria; Bacillati; Cyanobacteriota; Cyanophyceae; Pseudanabaenales; Pseudanabaenaceae.
AGUGGCGGACGGGUGAGUAACGCGUGAGAAUCUACCUUUAGGACGGGGACAACAAUUGGAAACGAUUGCUAAUACCCGAUAUGCCCUUCGGGGUGAAAUGUUUUUUCGCCUAAAGAUGAGCUCGCGUCCGAUUAGCUAGUAGGUAGUGUAAUGGACUACCUAGGCGAUGAUCGGUAGCUGGUUUGAGAGGACAAUCAGCCACACUGGGACUGAGACACGGCCCAGACUCCUACGGGAGGCAGCAGUGGGGAAUUUUCCGCAAUGGGCGCAAGCCUGACGGAGCAAUACCGCGUGGGGGAGGAAGGUCUGUGGAUUGUAAACCCCUUUUCUCAGGGAAGAAGCUCUGACGGUACCUGAGGAAUCAGCAUCGGCUAACUCCGUGCCAGCAGCCGCGGUAAUACGGAGGAUGCAAGCGUUAUCCGGAAUUAUUGGGCGUAAAGCGUCCGCAGGCGGCUAGAUAAGUCUGCUUUCAAAGAGUGGGGCUCAACCCCAUAGGGGGAGUGGAAACUGUUUAGCUAGAGUAUGGUAGGGGCAGAGGGAAUUCCCAGUGUAGCGUAAAAGGGGGCAAAAAAAGAAAACUGGGAAGGCUUGAAUUUUAGG